UCGAACGGAAGAUUGCAGAGAUGAGAUUUCGGUCAAAUCAAGUGUAUCUUUAGUGGCGGACGGGUGAGUAACGCGUGGGUAACCUGCCAUAUACAGGGGGAUAACACUUAGAAAUAGGUGCUAAUACCGCAUAAGCGCACAUGGCCGCAUGGCCAGGUGUGAAAAACUCCGGUGGUAUAUGAUGGACCCGCGUCUGAUUAGCUAGUUGGUGAGGUAACGGCCCACCAAGGCGACGAUCAGUAGCCGGCCUGAGAGGGUGGACGGCCACAUUGGGACUGAGACACGGCCCAAACUCCUACGGGAGGCAGCAGUGGGGGAUAUUGGACAAUGGGGGGAACCCUGAUCCAGCGACGCCGCGUGAGUGAAGAAGUAUCUCGGUAUGUAAAGCUCUAUCAGCAGGGAAGAAAGAAAUGACGGUACCUGAGUAAGAAGCCCCGGCUAACUACGUGCCAGCAGCCGCGGUAAUACGUAGGGGGCAAGCGUUAUCCGGAAUUACUGGGUGUAAAGGGAGCGUAGACGGUGAUGUAAGUCUGGAGUGAAAGGCGGGGGCCCAACCCCCGGACUGCUCUGGAAACUAUAUGACUGGAGUGCAGGAGAGGUGAGCGGAAUUCCUAGUGUAGCGGUGAAAUGCGUAGAUAUUAGGAGGAACACCAGUGGCGAAGGCGGCUCACUGGACUGUAACUGACGUUGAGGCUCGAAAGCGUGGGGAGCAAACAGGAUUAGAUACCCUGGUAGUCCACGCCGUAAACGAUGAUCACUAGGUGUGGGUGGGUAUGGACCCAUCGGUGCCGCAGCAAACGCAGUAAGUGAUCCACCUGGGGAGUACGUUCGCAAGAAU
RNAcentral lists this ribosomal RNA (838 nucleotides) under uncultured bacterium. RNAcentral's name for it is "bacterial SSU rRNA". It matches the Rfam family "Bacterial small subunit ribosomal RNA", at positions 62 to 895 of the family's 1533-position model. The record is from RNAcentral.